GAUGAACGCUGGCGGCGUGCCUAAUACAUGCAAGUCGAGCGAACAGACGAGGAGCUUGCUCCUCUGACGUUAGCGGCGGACGGGUGAGUAACACGUGGAUAACCUACCUAUAAGACUGGGAUAACUUCGGGAAACCGGAGCUAAUAACGGAUAAUAUAUUCAACCGCAUGGUUCAAUAGUGAAAGACGGUUUUGCUGUCACUUAUAGAUGGAUCCGCGCCGCAUUAGCUAGUUGGUAAGGUAACGGCUUACCAAGGCAACGAUGCGUAGCCGACCUGAGAGGGUGAUCGGCCACACUGGAACUGAGACACGGUCCAGACUCCUACGGGAGGCAGCAGUAGGGAAUCUUCCGCAAUGGGCGAAAGCCUGACGGAGCGACGCCGCGUGAGUGAUGAAGGUCUUCGGAUCGUAAAACUCUUUUAUUAGGGAAGAACAAAUGUGUAAGUAACUAUGCACGUCUUGACGGUACCUAAUCAGAAAGCCACGGCUAACUUCGUG
Molecule: ribosomal RNA, 497 nt
Filed under: uncultured bacterium
Lineage: Bacteria
Description: partial 16S ribosomal RNA
Rfam family: Bacterial small subunit ribosomal RNA
Source: RNAcentral